RNAcentral lists this ribosomal RNA (449 nucleotides) under uncultured bacterium. RNAcentral describes it as "partial 16S ribosomal RNA". It matches the Rfam family "Bacterial small subunit ribosomal RNA", at positions 29 to 523 of the family's 1533-position model. The record is from RNAcentral.
AACGAACGCUGGCGGCAUGCCUAACACAUGCAAGUCGAACGAAGGCUUCGGCCUUAGUGGCGCACGGGUGCGUAACGCGUGGGAAUCUGCCCCUCGGUUCGGAAUAACACAGAGAAAUUUGUGCUAAUACCGGAUGAUGACGAAAGUCCAAAGAUUUAUCGCCGAGGGAUGAGCCCGCGUAGGAUUAGCCAGUUGGGGAGGUAAAGGCUCACCAAGGCGACGAUCCUUAGCUGGUCCGAGAGGAUGAUCAGCCACACUGGGACUGAGACACGGCCCAGACUCCUACGGGAGGCAGCAGUGGGGAAUAUUGGACAAUGGGCGAAAGCCUGAUCCAGCAAUGCCGCGUGAGUGAUGAAGGCCUUAGGGUUGUAAAGCUCUUUUACCAGGGAUGAUAAUGACAGUACCUGGAGAAUAAGCUCCGGCUAACACCGUGCCAGCCGCCGCGGUAA